This 258-nucleotide unclassified non-coding RNA is filed under the name uncultured Dehalococcoidia bacterium. RNAcentral describes it as "contains 16S-23S intergenic spacer region". The record is from RNAcentral. Lineage: Bacteria; Bacillati; Chloroflexota; Dehalococcoidia.
UCCGGGUUUCGCCCGGCAGUCUCCCUAGAACAUUCACCUUUCGGAUCCGUACCACCAGCAUGUCAAGCCCUGGUAAGGUUCUUCGCGUUGCAUCGAAUUAAACCACACGCUCCGCCGCUUGUGCGGGCCCCCGUCAAUUCCUUUGAGUUUUAGCCUUGCGGCCGUACUCCCCAGGCGGGAUGCUUAAAGCGUUAGCUACGGCACAGAGGGGGUCGACACCCCCCACACCUAGCAUCCACCGUUUAGGGCGUGGACUAC